GCCGCCCGCUGGCGGCGUGCCUAAUACAUGCAAGUAGAACGCUGAAGGAGGAGUUUGCUUCUAUGGAUGAGUUGCGAACGGGUGAGUAACGCGUAGGUAACCUGCCUGGUAGCGGGGGAUAACUAUUGGAAACGAUAGCUAAUACCGCAUAACAGUAGAUAUCGCAUGAUAUCUACUUGAAAGGUGCAAUUGCAUCACUACCAGAUGGACCUGCGUUGUAUUAGCUUGUUGGUGAGGUAACGGCUCACCAAGGCGACGAUACAUAGCCGACCGGAGAGGGGGAUCGGCCACACUGGGACUGAGACACGGCCCAGAGGCCUACGGGAGGCAGCAGUAGGGAAUCUUAGGCAAUGGACGGAAGUCUGACCGAGCAAGGCCGCGUGAGUGACGAAGAGUUUCGGAUCGUAAAGCUCGGUUUUAAGAGAAGAACGAGUGUGAGAGUGGAAAGAUCACUCUGUGACGGUAUCUUACAAGAAAGGGACGGCUAACUACGUG
Molecule: ribosomal RNA, 495 nt
Filed under: uncultured bacterium
Lineage: Bacteria
Description: partial 16S ribosomal RNA
Rfam family: Bacterial small subunit ribosomal RNA
Source: RNAcentral